GCCUAAACUGGGCGUAGCCUGACCAGCCAAGUAGCGUGCAGGACGACGGCCCUAUGGGUUGUAAACUGCUUUUAUGCGGGGAUAAAGUGGCCCACGUGUGGGCUUUUGCAGGUACCGCAUGAAUAAGGACCGGCUAAUUCCGUGCCAGCAGCCGCGGUAAUACGGAAGGUCCGGGCGUUAUCCGGAUUUAUUGGGUUUAAAGGGAGCGUAGGCCGCGCCUUAAGCGUGUUGUGAAAUCCGGGUGCUCAACAUCCGGCUUGCAGCGCGAACUGGGGCGCUUGAGUGCGCAGAAAGUAGGCGGAAUUCGUGGUGUAGCGGUGAAAUGCUUAGAUAUCACGAGGAACUCCGAUUGCGAAGGCAGCCUACUGUAGCGCUACUGACGCUGAUGCUCGAAAGCGUGGGUAUCGAACAGGAUUAGAUACCCUGGUAGUCCACGCGGUAAACGAUGGAUGCUCGUUGUCGGCCCUUUGGGUCGGUGACCAAGCGAAAGCGUUAAGCAUCCCACCUGGGGAGUACGCCGGCAACGGUGAAACUCAAGAAAAAUGGACGGA
Molecule: ribosomal RNA, 551 nt
Filed under: uncultured Prevotella sp.
Lineage: Bacteria; Pseudomonadati; Bacteroidota; Bacteroidia; Bacteroidales; Prevotellaceae
Description: bacterial SSU rRNA
Rfam family: Bacterial small subunit ribosomal RNA
Source: RNAcentral